UCACAAUUUGUCAACCGUUGUAGCGUAUCGGAUGCCGCAGUCUGGGACGUCUGUAUGUCAUCACAAUUUGUCAACCGUUGUAGUGCGUCGGGUUGCACAGUCUGGGACGUCUGUAUGUCAUCACAAUUUGUCAACCGUUGUAAAGUCUGUUGUAGCGUAGUCGGGUGCUGCAGUCUGGGACGUCUGUACGUCAUUACAGCGUGUCAACAGUUGGAGCAUAGUUGGAUGCUGAAGUCUGGGACGUCUGUAUGUCAUCACAGUAGGUACAUCUGUAUGUCAUCACAGUAGGUACAUCUGUAUGUCAUCACUGUAGGUACAUCUGUAUGUCAUCACUGUAG
Long non-coding RNA from Haliotis rubra (blacklip abalone), 338 nucleotides. RefSeq lists it as uncharacterized. The record is from RefSeq and is a predicted model, not a curated record. NCBI's taxonomy places the organism in Eukaryota, Metazoa, Mollusca, Gastropoda, Lepetellida, Haliotidae. The transcript has 4 exons.